AACGAACGCUGGCGGCAGGCCUAACACAUGCAAGUCGAACGGCAGCACAGAGGAGCUUGCUCCUUGGGUGGCGAGUGGCGGACGGGUGAGGAAUACAUCGGAAUCUACUCUGUCGUGGGGGAUAACGUAGGGAAACUUACGCUAAUACCGCAUACGACCUACGGGUGAAAGCAGGGGACCUUCGGGCCUUGCGCGAUUGAAUGAGCCGAUGUCGGAUUAGCUAGUUGGCGGGGUAAAGGCCCACCAAGGCGACGAUCCGUAGCUGGUCUGAGAGGAUGAUCAGCCACACUGGAACUGAGACACGGUCCAGACUCCUACGGGAGGCAGCAGUGGGGAAUAUUGGACAAUGGGCGCAAGCCUGAUCCAGCCAUACCGCGUGGGUGAAGAAGGCCUUCGGGUUGUAAAGCCCUUUUGUUGGGAAAGAAAUCCAGCUGGCUAAUACCCGGUUGGGAUGACGGUACCCAAAGAAUAAGCACCGGCUAACUUCGUGCCAGCCGCCGCAGUAA
RNAcentral lists this ribosomal RNA (506 nucleotides) under uncultured bacterium. Its description in RNAcentral is "partial 16S ribosomal RNA". It matches the Rfam family "Bacterial small subunit ribosomal RNA", at positions 29 to 523 of the family's 1533-position model. The record is from RNAcentral.